RNAcentral lists this small RNA (2984 nucleotides) under Rattus norvegicus (Norway rat). Its description in RNAcentral is "uncharacterized LOC103692427". The record is from RNAcentral. Lineage: Eukaryota; Metazoa; Chordata; Mammalia; Rodentia; Muridae.
UCUCUCUCUCCCCACCCCUGCCUGUGUCCCAGAGCACCCCUUCCUCCCCUGUUUCCUAAGAACACUUCUUCAAGAAAGCUUUGCCUAAAAGGACAGAACCCUCCCACCAUACUCCCAGACUCUAAUAAAAGAAAAAGUCCAACCACUUCCCAGCUGCUUGGGCUUCACUGCCUUGGUGCCUUUCACCAUCACCACCUGCAGCCUCUGUAGCUGGGACCAGACUUUCAGCGGGCCAGCCAGAAGGGGAGGAGUUUGCUCAAAGCUGUUGGAAUCAGCAGAUAUGCAAAAUGACUGUAAGAUAAAAUAGCACAGGUCUCAUUCCUCCAUGGAGAGGAAGAAGAGGUCUGAUUUCCACUCCAGCUUCACGGAGGAAUUACAGAAUGGUGCCAGCAGAAGCACUCCAAAAAGCCAGCCUCUUCAGAGAUAGACCACAGCCCCUGAGCACUGCGAGAGGUAUGUGUGCGGUAUUGCCACUGCAAUAGGUGCAUCUGUGGAUGCUUGUGUCUGGCUAACACACCUCGUGGCAUCUUGCGCCUUUGUCUUUUCCUCUUCAGGCCCAGGCCAACCACAAUAUUUUUUUUUUUCAAAAGCAGACUGCUCCACUUAAAAUUCUGUUAAGCUGGUCACUUUCCAAAUUCUUUCCCCCUCAUAAUAGCUGUUUAUUUUUUAUUAAAAUAUUUUUAUGGAUCUUUUUGUAACUUCACAGUUGUCUCCAUACAUAUAUUUUCCAAAUUCUUAUCCUGGAGUCAAGACUUCAUUCCCUGCUUAUCACAACUAAGGUAGAGGACACAGAUACAAGUGAGAGGGAGGGAUGUCCUCACCUCACUGGUUACUCAGGGUUGUAGCUAGCUCAGCACUAACACUUGCUACUCAGGGUUUUAAGUUGCUGGGCCCUGGCCUCCAGCUUGUAGCUUUGUAGCCUUGGGGCCAUAAUAGCCAGUGGUGAGACCCUAGGAGACAUUCAGAGGCCACCUUGACAAGUGGGGAUAAAAAAGUCUGCCCAAGCUGUUUGCAGAGCCUUGGCAUCUGGAGUCAGGAGAGCUUACAUGCAGUGUGGUGAGGAAACGCCAUUGCUGCAGCAAAAACCAGGCAGACCAGCUUUCUCUUUGAACGCUUACUGAGUGAUCCUAGACUGCCAUGUCCAACAACUGUAAAAGGAAGAUAUGAGUAUUCACGUUAUAAAGAGAAAAGGUGAGAGGGUGGGACUAGAUAGUGCUUUCUAAAGAGUCCGGUGCUCAGUAGAAAGGUGGGCAGGAAGGGGCAGCACUUAGUACUGGCAAGCAAAGGAACCAAAAGGCCCAGCAUGGAGGACAGUGGGAGGAGGGAGAAGAGGAAGAGAGAGCAGAACUGUACUUUCAGGGAGAGGUUUUUCAGUAAAGAUCUGCAAUACAUUUUUCAGGGCCUGUGGCAAAACAGAAGUGUAAGGCUUCUGGAUCAAAACCCAGCAGAGAGGUGGAGCAUCAUGUUUUCCUUCUGGAUUCUCUGUCCUCCCCACCCCCACCCCAACAAGUUCUUAUUUUAAAAUGCUUUAAGAUGAACAGAAAAAUCUCAAAGAUCAUAGAGUGCCUGCAUCCUUGCAUUUACUUUCCUCGAAUUGCUAACAUUCUACUACGUUAUUUGGAUGCCUUUGACUCAAUUAGCAAAUGGCUUGGUGAGUGUCACUUAAUGACAUGUUCUUUCAGGCAUAGAAGUACCGAGAGGGAGGACAGGUCCUUCAAUAGACUUGAAGUGAUGCUCACUCUGACUGAAGGUGUGCACACAGAUCCCCAGAUGGGCUGCAGGAUCAUUAUAGAUAAUAAGGAACUGGCGAAGGAAGAAAAGUAGACAUGAUACAGGUCGUGGUGGUAAACCCCCAUUAGUAACAUCAUAGUGCAAACUUUUUCAUUUACAUGUUGGUGUUUACAUACAAUGUCUAUACAUUAAAUUAAGUCACGAUGUAUACAAUGUAUAGACUUCUGAAUAACCUUCUUUGGUUCAGCCAAUGCUCUUCCCCAUUUUCCUCUGUUUUUUUUAUACAUUUUCAGCUUGUCUACUAUUUGGGAUCAUAGUCUAAAUUCCCCAGUGUUUUCAUUCUAAGUUUUCAUUCUAAUCCAGAAACAAUGUGUGUGUGUGUGUGUGUGUGUGUGUGUGUGUGUGUGUGUGUGUGUGUGUGUGUGUGGUGGGGAAUGUAUAUUGGGAAGAUGAGUCUAGAAGUAUGACCCACAGAAGAGUCAUGGUGGGAAGGGGUUAUUAGAAAGCUCUGAAUACUCUCAUACAACCAGCUCCUCCUAAUCAGAACACACGCAGUAAAUAGCAACACUUACAAAGUUGGUGACCUGACUGGAAGCAGACUUCAGCUCCCUAAAAUCUGACGCUGUAAUGUAUGAAGCUCAGUGUGAUCUUUUUACACUUGACUUUAUGGAGGCGGGGACAGACGCUCCCCCAACAGCAUUGAUGCCUUCUAAACAGAAACUUUCCACUGGAGACAAAUGAGGAAGUUGGAGUUCAGAGAGAUCUUUUGGAAAGAAAUGACACCUGUUGAGAGUAGAAAAGAAUUUAAGUGGAUUUCUCAAACCAGAGUGCUGAAGUAGAUAACCAUGAUAUGGGAGCUUUUCCUUUUGUACAAAAGAGUAUCCCAAACCCAGAGAAGCAGAGCGAUAAAUGACCCAUCAAGGCACUCAGAAAGGGGACAGGAGAAGCACAGCUCCUGCAGAAGAAGAGGACAUGGAAGUAAGUGUUUUCAGGACUCUAGCAAAACAAGUGGCUCAAGACCUGAAGAAAAGGCAAGACCUGGGGGCAAAAACUCAUGGUAAGCUGCUGACUCAUUAAGCUACCGGAAGCUCCCACAGUUGUGUUCCCUCAGUAACCUGCUGAUGCAGCUCUUCACCGAAAGCUACCUGGGAGUUGGGGGAAGGUACCAUGUUUGUAAUCUCAGUUCUGCAGAGAUGGAAGGAACAGGAGUCCUGAGGUAGCCUGGUCUACAUAGCAAGAAAAAAAGAAAGAAA